This 422-nucleotide ribosomal RNA is filed under the name uncultured bacterium. RNAcentral describes it as "bacterial SSU rRNA". It matches the Rfam family "Bacterial small subunit ribosomal RNA", at positions 355 to 774 of the family's 1533-position model. The record is from RNAcentral.
UGAGGAAUAUUGGGCAAUGCCCGCAAGGGUGACCCAGCAACGCCGCGUGGAGGAUGAAUGUCGUGAGAUUGUAAACUCCUGUUAGAGGGGAAGAAUAGUACCGGUUGGACCGGUAUAUGACUGUACCCUCAGAGAAAGCCCCGGCUAACUACGUGCCAGCAGCCGCGGUAAUACGUAGGGGGCAAGCGUUGUCCGGAUUUAAUAGGUGUAAAGGGCGCGCAGGCGGGAUAAAAAGUCAGUGGUGAAAUCCUACAGCUUAACUGUAGAACUGCCUUUGAUACUUUUAUUCUUGAGUUCGGGAGAGAGAGACGGAAUUCCAGGUGUAGUGGUGAAAUACGUAGAUAUCUGGAAGAACACCAGUUGCGAAGGCGGUCUCUUGGUCCGACACUGACGCUGAGGCGCGAAAGCGUGGGGAGCAAACA